UCCAGAAGAUGUUGAAGUUAGUUUACUCCUCCCAAUGGAUUACAUUGGAAGCACUACAUAGUGGACCAAUUUUGUGUUGGCAAUUCAUGUUUUGAGGUUGUUGCUCUUGGUAGUCCAGGUCUCAGAAGCAUAGAAGAUAGAGAUCAUUAUACUGGGUUUGAUCAUCAGGCACAAGUGCUAUGCUUCAAAUCAAAAACAAAAUGUCCAAAGCCCUUGGUUCCACAAGAGUAUGUAAUUAUCAAUGCCAAAAAUCUGUUUCUAGGAGAUAUGAUAUUAAUGCAGAUCGCAAAACGAUUGUCGUUAGUGUAGAGCAUUGAAUUUAGAUAUUUUACUGGUUCAAAUGCUAGGCAACACAACGCAGUUGUAUGUGUUACACUGCCUGGUGAGUUUGAUAUACAAAAUUCUGAUUUAAUAUAAUUUCAUAAUAAUCUGAUCUCGGCCUUCGUUACUUUGCAACCAUGUUUCUGUAAAGGCAUUUGGAUAAUACCAAAUUCAUAUUAAUUUGUGCCAUCAGCUUGUUUCAAAUGGUUCAUGUGUUCAGAAGUUUUUAAUUGAAUCAUUUUCCUUAGUCUGACGCUAUUUGCAUACUCUACAUGUCAUUCCUUUUCACUAUUGCCACCUUUCCUUUCGCCUUUCUAAACACCCCCUCACCUGAACCAUUUUAUUGGGCGCAAAUAAUCUUAGAACAGUUAUGAAUAGCAGUUGUAUCAUUAACCAAAGUUUAAAUAGAAUAAGGCCGAGUUCAAAAUAAUGGUUCAACAGCACCGUAAGGGCAAUUUUAGAGUGGAUGAUAAAUGGUGGCCUUGUCAGUGACAACUAAAUAUCCCUAAAAAUGAGUCAUAGGUUUCUCUGAGCUACUUCUAAUGGCCUGCACAAGGAGAGUUAAAAGUGCAUAAGAUAUGAAUGGAAAAAUAUGCAUUUUCUUUUAGCAUCAAAGAUCAGGUACAAGCAUUUGAAUUAUUUUUUUUAAUUGUAUUGUAAUUAAUUUAUUAGCCAAGUAUGUAAAAACAUACAAGGAAUUUGAUUUGUCAUAGUCAUACCAAAAAAGCAACACAACACACAACUACAUAAAAAUUAAAAUAAACAUCCACCACAGUGCACUGAUGGAAGACAAUAAUGUAUUAUCAUCUUCCCUCCUUUACUCCUGCAGUCGGGGCAGUUGAACCACCCGUAGUCGAGAUCGAAGCUCCUGUGGCUUUGAGCUCCCGAAGUCGGUCCAUAACCAAGAGAUUGUGAGUUCCACGAUGUUAAGUCCGCAGGCUCCCGUGGUUGGAGCUCCCAAAGUCGAUCCCCAGCAAGAGGCCUACAGCUCCUCGAUGCUAGACCGAAUUCGGAAGUCGCAUCUGUUGAGGAAAUAAAAGUUUCCCCCACUCCCCACAUAAUACAAAACUAAAUACACUAAAACAUAUUUAACAGACUAAAAAGAAAAGAACGAGAGACUGUUGGCGAGGCUGCCAUCGUACGGCGUCACCUGGUGGUCUUCUGGGGUUAUAUGUGGUUUGUCAUCGUUCAGUUUAGGCUUUAUAAGUGUAUGAACAGGUUGGAUUGGAAGGUUUGGCCUUGUGUGAAGAUGGGAUUCAUUUUAAUUGGCAUCAUGGUCAGCGCAGACAUCAUGGGCCGAAGAACCAGUUUCUGUGGUGUAAUGAUCUAUGGCCAGUAAAAUGAAAGUGUUUAUCACUAGCAAGUGGUGUAUGCUGACUUCCUACUGCAUCCAUGUCAACAAGGCAUCAAUAGCUUUUUGGACCAGACAACUUUGAAUAGCCUUCAGUUACAGUAACAAAUUCUUAACUAGAAUUCUUAACAGCUUGGAAUUAACAGAAACUGUUUUGACCAUAAAAGUUUACCCCAAAGAUCAUUUAUUUUCUCAACAGAUGUUAUCUUAUCCACUUCUAAUUGUGGAGUAAAUACUUGUACCCAUCUUGCAUAUGAUACAUGGAAACCCGAUGAAAAUAAAGCUUUAUGCAGCACAACAUUAGAAAAUGAUUUUUCUGGAGUUGCAUCAGAUCCUUCGGCAUCCGUGAAGGGAAUUCUGAAACUGGAGUUGUAUCUGCAGAAGUCGAGAUGUCCUUCCUUUUACUUAAUUCAUUGGUUGAGAAUACAGACCGGUGCACAUCAAAAUGAUGCUGAUCAUCAUCUACGUCUGAAGAAUUGUGGCUGUAACCGUCACUCUGAUUUGCUAGUCGCCAGCCAAUGUUUUCUGAACCCUUUGGUGCUGGGAUUGCAGAAGAGAUGGUAUUCUGCACAGAAGAAAAACAUAUUG
This is a long non-coding RNA of Leucoraja erinaceus (little skate), 2260 nucleotides long. RefSeq lists it as uncharacterized. The record is from RefSeq and is a predicted model, not a curated record. NCBI's taxonomy places the organism in Eukaryota, Metazoa, Chordata, Chondrichthyes, Rajiformes, Rajidae. The transcript is spliced from 4 exons.